UAAGUACUCCCUCCGUCCAAAAAAGCUUGUCCCUCAAAUGGAUGUAUCUAGUACUAACUUGAUGCCAGAUACAUCUAUUUGAGAGACAAGUUUGGGACAGGCUUUUUCGAACGGAGCGAGUACCAA
Molecule: non-coding RNA, 126 nt
Organism: Triticum aestivum (bread wheat)
Lineage: Eukaryota; Viridiplantae; Streptophyta; Magnoliopsida; Poales; Poaceae
Source: Rfam